ACCAGAAGCUCCGGCGACACUGAGAUUAUAAGGGAGCCAGGGCUUUGCGGAUGAUUUGCUCCAGAUGGAAUUAAUGCUGCAGUUGUUAGAAGAGCAUCUCUGGCUCCGCUUCUGAAGCUAAUCACCACCUCUGUUUUUAUGGAGAAAACAAAGGAUUCAGAUUGAAGGACUGCUCAGACACCCUCCGAAGAGGUGGCCCUGCCUGCGCUCCUCCUGGCUGCAGAGUACCCCACCAGCGCAUUUUGAUUUGCAAUCUAGGAAGAGGAUUCUGGAAGAAUGGGAAGAAGGACAACUCUGCAUCUAUUAAUUUUAGUUUUAUGUUAUUCGCGUUUUUCCUCUCAUCCUUAUCUCCUCCAGCCCUUCCUUCCUGUAAAAGGAUCCUUUCUAAACAUACAAAUAAAGACAUGCUUAGAAUUUCAGCACAU
Molecule: long non-coding RNA, 425 nt
Filed under: Homo sapiens (human)
Lineage: Eukaryota; Metazoa; Chordata; Mammalia; Primates; Hominidae
Description: non-protein coding lnc-EEF1AKMT2-2:1
Source: RNAcentral